UUGUUUAAUUUAACUUGUUCUCAGACUUCAAUUUUCCAGGCAGGGUUGGCUAAUUCCGGCAGGCGGGGCCCCCCGCGAACGGGGGGUGGUCCCCGCCAGGCGCCGAAUCCGGGCCGCGGUUACAAAGGGUGGAGUUGUGCCCGGAGGCUAACCCAUUAAUGAUCCUUCCGCAGGUUCACCUACGGAAA
RNAcentral lists this unclassified non-coding RNA (188 nucleotides) under uncultured fungus. RNAcentral describes it as "sequence contains ITS1". Lineage: Eukaryota; Fungi. The record is from RNAcentral.